AGUGAACGCUGGCGGUAGGCCUAACACAUGCAAGUCGAACGGCAGCACAGUAAGAGCUUGCUCUUACGGGUGGCGAGUGGCGGACGGGUGAGGAAUACAUCGGAAUCUACUUUUUCGUGGGGGAUAACGUAGGGAGACUUACGCUAAUACCGCAUACGACCCACGGGUGAAAGCAGGGGAUCUUCGGACCUUGCGCGAUUGAAUGAGCCGAUGUCGGAUUAGCUAGUUGGCGGGGUAAAGGCCCACCAAGGCGACGAUCCGUAGCUGGUCUGAGAGGAUGAUCAGCCACACUGGAACUGAGACACGGUCCAGACUCCUACGGGAGGCAGCAGUGGGGAAUAUUGGACAAUGGGCGCAAGCCUGAUCCAGCCAUACCGCGUGGGUGAAGAAGGCCUUCGGGUUGUAAAGCCCUUUUGUUGGGAAAGAAAAGCAGCAGGUUAAUACCCCGCUGUUCUGACGGUACCCAAAGAAUAAGCACCGGCUAACUUCGUG
RNAcentral lists this ribosomal RNA (492 nucleotides) under uncultured bacterium. Its description in RNAcentral is "partial 16S ribosomal RNA". It matches the Rfam family "Bacterial small subunit ribosomal RNA", at positions 29 to 507 of the family's 1533-position model. The record is from RNAcentral.